Long non-coding RNA from Magallana angulata, 3142 nucleotides. RefSeq lists it as uncharacterized. The record is from RefSeq and is a predicted model, not a curated record. The transcript is spliced from 2 exons. NCBI's taxonomy places the organism in Eukaryota, Metazoa, Mollusca, Bivalvia, Ostreida, Ostreidae.
UACAGUGUACAUGUAAUUGUUAUUGAUUGCCUUGCUUCCAUGAACCAUAUAUAUAUUUCAAUAAUGCCACAUUGCACUAGAAAUAUUGCUGACAAAGAUGUGGAAAGAGAUCAUGGAGAGAGAGAGAGAGAGAGAGAGUAUGAAAAGCCAUAACAAAUUUUAUAGUUAUAUGUCAUUUCCCACUUAAUGAGUUGUUAUAGCUGUUAUCAUGGUAAUGUUUUGACCAUGUCUCAGAAACUGCAUGUGCCCAUAAAAAAGUGUAAUCUAGGACACACCCUUUUGUUUUGAUAAUGACAGCAUUUAGCUUUGUAAUGAUAGCUAGUGUAUCUUUUUUCUUCUAAUCUACAGAUUUACCUGCGGUUUCCAGAUGAUCUGAAGAUCGGGAUUAUAGAAAAUAUUGUCAAUUUGAUAUUGCUAAUGACCCAUGUAGUCAUGUCUGCUGAAGCCCAGAAGUUUCCAGACCAUGACAUUAAUGAAUAUUUCUUGAAUGGAAUGCAUGAGGAUUCGAAUGGAACCUUAUUCUGCCUUUUUACCAACUCACACCAUCUUUUCAAGAUUUAUGGAGCCAACCACAGAAGAAUUUGUUCUAUACACAUCAUUCAUAACAUUCUUAUUUAUGUUGCAUAACUUUAAAUGUUACUGGAUGAGUUGCGUUCACAUAAUGAAUACCAGCAAACUUUUUAUCGAGUGCACUUACCGGUAAUUUGUAUUUUUCCUACCCAUCCAUCUAACAUAUGUUUUUAUAUAACAUAUUCAUAUACAUGUAACAUUUUUGGAAACAGCUAUUUUUUUUUAAUUGGAAUUUAGCCUUACUAUUUUAUACAAGUUUUUUUUAAAGGGACUUGGACACGAUCAAAAUUUUGUUUUCAAGUUCUUUAUGCAUAAAAUGAUUUACUUGCACAUUUUGAAUAAUUGACACUAAUUUGAAUGUUAGAAGUCAAGUUAUAAGAGAGAUACAGGGGUCAGAAUUUAUUGUUAUGUAAACAAAGCUCGAGUCUUAUGUUUGUUAACAAAUAAUAUAAAGUAUGAAAUUACCAAUUUUUUGAGAAAAUGAUUCAUAGAAAAGAAGGUAAACUGAUUUGAUGUGAUCAUAAAUGAUAUUAUUAAUAGAAAAAAGCAACAUUUGAAUUAAACUUACACCAAUAAAACACAUAUGUAAAUAAUAACAAGACUUGCGCUUUGUUUACAAAACAAAAAAUAUUUAAUUUUUUAUCUUUCUUUUAACUCAGUAUUUGACUUUCAAAUUUUGACAAAGCAUUAAAAAUACCCAUAUCAACCAUUCUAAAUAUUGAAAAUGGAAAUAUAAAAUUUUGAAUUUUAAGCUCAAAUCGUGUCUAAGUCCCUUGAAUAUACUCUUUUGUAUACAAACAGAACAAAAAAUACUUAGUUACAAUGGGAAAUAGACAUAAUAUAUAUAAAAGUGUCUGAUAAAAGGAUAGGUCUUAUUCUUGAACAGAAGAAAUUGACAGAAAAAUAUUCAGUUUUAGCCAUGAAAUACAAAUAUUAAUAUUUGUUAAGAAUAUUUUUUAAUCUAAAUAAGUUAUAAAAGUUUUUUUUCCCUUUAUUCCAAUGUUUGGAAACAAAUCCAAAAUAUAAUUAAAAUUGCUGUACAGUAUAUCCUAUUGAUUCCUAUAAUAUAUCACUUUAGUUUCUUGAACAGCAUGUUUAUUACUUUUUUUUCUUAAAAUGAUGUAUACAAGGUCAUUAAUUUAUUUUCAUUAUAUUCAACUAGAUACAAAUAGGCCUUCUGCAACCUUUUCAUUGUUUAAAUGGUAUGGAGUUUUAAUUACCUUUCAUAUGAAAAAUGACAUCUAAAUCUUAAAUUGCUUUACAUUAUAUCCUAUCCAUCUAAUGUAUCACUUUAUUUAUGUUGAACUUCGUGUCUAUUAGUAUAAUGAUUUUUUUUAGAAUGAUGUGUGCAAUUUCAUUAAUUUAUUUUUCAUUUUAAGAAAAUUCAUUUUAAAAAAGAUCCCUUACAACCUGUGUAUUUUUUUUUCAGUUUACAUAACACAGUGUAUUAAAGGCCGAACAUUUUACAAACGCCCCCUUUUUUACCUGUACAAACUUCAAAAUGAUGCCGCUUGUCAAUCAAGUUUGAAACAAUAGCACCCAGUUUGAUUGACGUGAUCGUCCGAGCGUGAUCUUGCCAGGUCCGCGGAUUUCUGUUUACUAGCAAUUAACAACGUUAUCUUUGAUAUCUUCCGUCAUGAAUUAAAGGGGGUAUAAAUGAAAAUUGAUUUUUAAACAUUACCAGUAUUAAAAUUGAUUAUGAAAAAUAAUUAUUCAGUGAUUGAAAAUACGCACAAUUUAUAUUUGAAUUAUGUUGAAUGUGUGUGACCUAAUAAAUUCAACGAAAAUGCAUGGACAGCUCCAAAACAUAUAAAAUUUUCUUUUUACAACAAACGUACAAUAUGCUACUAAAGCUAUAUUUACUGGUAAGAAGUUGGUGUAUGUAAACGUCGUAGUAGUAGUAGUAGUAGUUUAUUGGCGUAUACAUUACAUACAUUGCCAUAGCAUACAAUUUAACAGUACUUUACAAUAAUUGUGGGUACAGGUGGAAGGCAGGUUAUAUAAAUAUAUAUAAAAGGUAUAAAGUGGAUGAAAAAAUAUCAAAAAGAUUAACAAAGCAGUAGUUAUAUAUAAACUUGAUUUACGCUUAUUCACGUCUGAUGGUAAAGUUGUCCCUCUUAUUAAAAGAUUCGUACACAUAUUUACCCAGUUUUUUAACAUAAAUAUAGAAUCAGAAUUGAAUAAAUCAAUAAAUUUUGCCAUACUUGGUCGUACAUAGAAGUAUUUCUUAAUAUAUAAUUUCCUUAACUCCGUGUAAAAAUCACACACCAAAACAAAAUGGUAUUCAUCUUCGACAUCGUUUGAUUUACAAUAUAUACAUUUCCUUUCAUUAAUAUGACAUUUUUUAUCAUAUCUACCAGAUUCGUUUCGUAGACGAUGUGAAGAUAAUCUAAGUCUAAUGUAGUUGUGUAGAUUUAGACAUGUACCUACAAGCAAUAUACAUUUAAUAUUCACCGGGUAAAUGUACCAGCCUACUAUAUUUGAUAAAUAAAUGUACUUCUUUCAUGCCUUUUUCAUGCCUUUUACUCAUGGUUAUAUGUAUUAUUUAUAAUUAAAAUACUUUGAAAACUUU